This 1142-nucleotide unclassified non-coding RNA is filed under the name Hevea brasiliensis (rubber tree). The record is from RNAcentral. Lineage: Eukaryota; Viridiplantae; Streptophyta; Magnoliopsida; Malpighiales; Euphorbiaceae.
CCUGGAUGAACAUGGAAAUUUUUUUUUUUCCAAAAUUGAAGCAGCACUAUAGAUUUUUAUAAACCGUCUACGCAGAAAAAGAUUAAUCAGUUUCCUUAAAAAAAUUCUUCCAACAAAGAAAAUACACGGGAACUGAAUAAAAAUUACUUGAACAAUUAAAAAAAAAAAUGCAAAGUUACAUUUGGUUUCUACACAACAAAAAUUUCCAUGUUCAUCCAGGAAUAUGCAUGUUAUGACUUCUUUGGCCUUCCCCGCUUGCCAGCAUUUACUUGAGAAGAAUUUGUACUCUUAUUUGCCCCCGGACGCCCACCCUUCCCUUUUGAUGCUGAUUUUCCUCGACCUUUACCAGAAAACUUUCCACCCCGCUUACUUUGUUGUGUACGGCCAUUAAACUCUUCAUCACUAUCCUCACUUUCAUUAUCACUGAGCUCUUCUUCUGAUUCUGAAGAAUCUUUGGACUUCUUCCUUUUCUUGGAAUUUUCAGAAGCUUUAGAGGCAACUUUUCUUGCAGGCUUAGCAGCUGGAGAUUUGGUCUCUGGUUCUUCACUCCCUUCACCAGAAGCCUUGCCAUCAUAGACAUCCAGCUGCUCAAGACGGUCACCAACAUUUGUUCUAUCAACUAUAACCAUGGAAUGGCCCAUACCGCAUGCCACACCAAUAACACGCAUGCCCUCAAGAAUAUCUACCUUCUGGGGUACUGAUGAAGACUUCUGUCCAUAAGGACCAUAUCCUAGUUCACCAUACUGAGCAUGGCCCCAACUUAUGCAAGAGUUAUCAGCACCAACAAAAUGGUGCAUGCUGCCAGAAUCCAUACACCGCAAAUUCCAACCACUUAAAUCCAUUAGAGGCUUAGGAUACAUCCAGUCAUCACCAGUGUUCUUUAUUUUGCCCCACAUGUACAACUGUCCACCUCCUGCAGUACAUGCAGAGUUCAGAGAACCAGCAGAAAUCACUGCAUCAGCAGGCAGAACAUUGUGCUUCGAAAAGGCUUCCACACGACGAGGAGCCCAUUCAUCCUUCNNNNNNNNAACCCUUCCAUAACCACCAAAGCCCCACGUAUAAACAUAGCCAUUUGAAUCCACAGCCACUGUAUGAUUAGUUCCACACGCAACUUUUACAAUAGUUUCCCCAGCAAGAGAAGC